RNAcentral lists this ribosomal RNA (1418 nucleotides) under Staphylococcus pseudoxylosus. RNAcentral describes it as "bacterial SSU rRNA". It matches the Rfam family "Bacterial small subunit ribosomal RNA". The record is from RNAcentral. Lineage: Bacteria; Bacillati; Bacillota; Bacilli; Caryophanales; Staphylococcaceae.
CAUGCAAGUCGAGCGAACAGAUAAGGAGCUUGCUCCUUUGACGUUAGCGGCGGACGGGUGAGUAACACGUGGGUAACCUACCUAUAAGACUGGGAUAACUUCGGGAAACCGGAGCUAAUACCGGAUAACAUUUGGAACCGCAUGGUUCUAAAGUGAAAGAUGGUUUUGCUAUCACUUAUAGAUGGACCCGCGCCGUAUUAGCUAGUUGGUAAGGUAACGGCUUACCAAGGCGACGAUACGUAGCCGACCUGAGAGGGUGAUCGGCCACACUGGAACUGAGACACGGUCCAGACUCCUACGGGAGGCAGCAGUAGGGAAUCUUCCGCAAUGGGCGAAAGCCUGACGGAGCAACGCCGCGUGAGUGAUGAAGGGUUUCGGCUCGUAAAACUCUGUUAUUAGGGAAGAACAAAUGUGUAAGUAACUGUGCACAUCUUGACGGUACCUAAUCAGAAAGCCACGGCUAACUACGUGCCAGCAGCCGCGGUAAUACGUAGGUGGCAAGCGUUAUCCGGAAUUAUUGGGCGUAAAGCGCGCGUAGGCGGUUUCUUAAGUCUGAUGUGAAAGCCCACGGCUCAACCGUGGAGGGUCAUUGGAAACUGGGAAACUUGAGUGCAGAAGAGGAAAGUGGAAUUCCAUGUGUAGCGGUGAAAUGCGCAGAGAUAUGGAGGAACACCAGUGGCGAAGGCGACUUUCUGGUCUGUAACUGACGCUGAUGUGCGAAAGCGUGGGGAUCAAACAGGAUUAGAUACCCUGGUAGUCCACGCCGUAAACGAUGAGUGCUAAGUGUUAGGGGGUUUCCGCCCCUUAGUGCUGCAGCUAACGCAUUAAGCACUCCGCCUGGGGAGUACGACCGCAAGGUUGAAACUCAAAGGAAUUGACGGGGACCCGCACAAGCGGUGGAGCAUGUGGUUUAAUUCGAAGCAACGCGAAGAACCUUACCAAAUCUUGACAUCCUUUGAAAACUCUAGAGAUAGAGCCUUCCCCUUCGGGGGACAAAGUGACAGGUGGUGCAUGGUUGUCGUCAGCUCGUGUCGUGAGAUGUUGGGUUAAGUCCCGCAACGAGCGCAACCCUUAAGCUUAGUUGCCAUCAUUAAGUUGGGCACUCUAGGUUGACUGCCGGUGACAAACCGGAGGAAGGUGGGGAUGACGUCAAAUCAUCAUGCCCCUUAUGAUUUGGGCUACACACGUGCUACAAUGGACAAUACAAAGGGCAGCUAAACCGCGAGGUCAUGCAAAUCCCAUAAAGUUGUUCUCAGUUCGGAUUGUAGUCUGCAACUCGACUACAUGAAGCUGGAAUCGCUAGUAAUCGUAGAUCAGCAUGCUACGGUGAAUACGUUCCCGGGUCUUGUACACACCGCCCGUCACACCACGAGAGUUUGUAACACCCGAAGCCGGUGGAGUAACCAUUUAUGGAGCUA